This 1022-nucleotide ribosomal RNA is filed under the name Escherichia coli. Its description in RNAcentral is "partial 23S ribosomal RNA". It matches the Rfam family "Bacterial large subunit ribosomal RNA", at positions 724 to 1746 of the family's 2925-position model. The record is from RNAcentral. Lineage: Bacteria; Pseudomonadati; Pseudomonadota; Gammaproteobacteria; Enterobacterales; Enterobacteriaceae.
GGUGAUCUAGCCAUGGGCAGGUUGAAGGUUGGGUAACACUAACUGGAGGACCGAACCGACUAAUGUUGAAAAAUUAGCGGAUGACUUGUGGCUGGGGGUGAAAGGCCAAUCAAACCGGGAGAUAGCUGGUUCUCCCCGAAAGCUAUUUAGGUAGCGCCUCGUGAAUUCAUCUCCGGGGGUAGAGCACUGUUUCGGCAAGGGGGUCAUCCCGACUUACCAACCCGAUGCAAACUGCGAAUACCGGAGAAUGUUAUCACGGGAGACACACGGCGGGUGCUAACGUCCGUCGUGAAGAGGGAAACAACCCAGACCGCCAGCUAAGGUCCCAAAGUCAUGGUUAAGUGGGAAACGAUGUGGGAAGGCCCAGACAGCCAGGAUGUUGGCUUAGAAGCAGCCAUCAUUUAAAGAAAGCGUAAUAGCUCACUGGUCGAGUCGGCCUGCGCGGAAGAUGUAACGGGGCUAAACCAUGCACCGAAGCUGCGGCAGCGACACUAUGUGUUGUUGGGUAGGGGAGCGUUCUGUAAGCCUGUGAAGGUGUACUGUGAGGUAUGCUGGAGGUAUCAGAAGUGCGAAUGCUGACAUAAGUAACGAUAAAGCGGGUGAAAAGCCCGCUCGCCGGAAGACCAAGGGUUCCUGUCCAACGUUAAUCGGGGCAGGGUGAGUCGACCCCUAAGGCGAGGCCGAAAGGCGUAGUCGAUGGGAAACAGGUUAAUAUUCCUGUACUUGGUGUUACUGCGAAGGGGGGACGGAGAAGGCUAUGUUGGCCGGGCGACGGUUGUCCCGGUUUAAGCGUGUAGGCUGGUUUUCCAGGCAAAUCCGGAAAAUCAAGGCUGAGGCGUGAUGACGAGGCACUACGGUGCUGAAGCAACAAAUGCCCUGCUUCCAGGAAAAGCCUCUAAGCAUCAGGUAACAUCAAAUCGUACCCCAAACCGACACAGGUGGUCAGGUAGAGAAUACCAAGGCGCUUGAGAGAACUCGGGUGAAGGAACUAGGCAAAAUGGUGCCGUAACUUCGGGAGAAGG